AGUCCUGUAGCUUAGUGGUUAGAGCACUCGUCUUGAAAAUGAGAGGACCUGGGUUCGAUUCCCAGGCAGUGCGA
Molecule: non-coding RNA, 74 nt
Organism: Callorhinchus milii (elephant shark)
Lineage: Eukaryota; Metazoa; Chordata; Chondrichthyes; Chimaeriformes; Callorhinchidae
Source: the annotation of a RefSeq genome assembly